AUUUGUCAAUUGCAACCCACAAGCAGGGUUGUCCUUUCCCUUUUGAAGGAUAGAAGAACUCAUUUCAAAAUAGGAAUAAUUGCUAAUGAAGAGUGGGUGACCCGUUACAUUGAUCAAGAUUUUCAUAAACAAUUUAGGAUGAUGAAAAGCACAUAUUGGGCCCUUGUCGACAUUGUCCGACCUUACUGCCCUGUUAAGUGCCAAAGAGGUGAUGCACCUCUAAUGACAGUUGAGAAAGCUGUCUUGAUGACAUUGUGUUAUCUGGAGAAGCAUGUGCCCUUGUCUGAUAUAGGCGAUCGAUUUGCUGUGGCUCAAAGCACAGUUUUCAAGGAGGCUAGAACUAUUAUUCAUAUAUUGUGUGAUCUUAGCAAUACAUUUAUUGUUUGGCCUAAAGAGAGCGAGUGUGUAGUGCUGAGCAGGCAAUUUGAGGCACGUGCGGGAUUUCCUGGUGUCAUAGGAGCCAUCGAUGGUUGCCACAUUGAAGUCCUAUCUCCAGCAAACCAGCAAUCUAGCUACAUAGAUCGCACGUGCAACUAUUCUAUUACACUUCAAGGUGGGAUUUUAUGAUUAAGCAAAACAGUAUAUUUUUGCCGUUAAUAUCAUAACUCUCUCAUGAUAAGAUUAGCUUUUUAUUUUGUAGGAAUUUGUACUGCAACAAAAAUAGUUACAAAUGUAUCUAUUGGAACAUCUGGUUCUUGUAAUGAUACUCGGGUUCUAAAAUACUCCAGCGUCUACCGGACGAUAAUGCUAGAUAGAGUAGAAUCCAUGUUCUUUAAUGAGAAUUAUCAUUUGAUAGGUGAUAAGGCCUAUCCUAACAGAAUAUGGUGCAUGGCACUUUUCAAGGAUUUUGGAAACCUUACUCCAAGACAGAAAACGUACAACUAUCAUCACAGUUCAACCCGUAUUGUAAUAGAGCACACGUUUCUUAUGAAGGGCAGAUGGAAGCGCUUAAUGAAAGUUAACACAGAGAUUGCCAAAGUUAGUGACAUUGUACUGGCCAUCUGUGUUUUGCACAAUUUUUGUUAUCUGCACAACGAUGAGAUGAUUCAGAAAAUGAUUGGAGAUAAAAGACACAUGGCUAAGCAACAUGUUCUCAAGAAUUAUGCAGACGAAGCCAGCAAAAUACAAGGCGCAGAAAAACGCAACAGAAUUGUAUGCCUGUUCUGGUUCUCUUUUAGAAAGAUUUCUUUUAUUGAUAAAUAAAUGAGAACUAGGUAUCUGAAAUAAAACAAUUCAACAAAUAUUGUCUUUGACAUUUAUUUCUCAUUUAUAUCUCAAAGUACAUAUUUGCAAAAUCAAAUGUUACUUCGACAGAACUACACUAAAUAAUAUAUACAGAAAAUAUGAAAAAAAAAGAAUAACAUUGUCUUAUACAUAUUUUGUAACAAAGAUAGAAACUCAAAAUAAAAAGGUACUCAGAUAUAGCGAAUUCGGCUCUUUGCCGAAAUAAUUAACGAAUAUUAACGUAAAUAAAACUACGAUAUAUUAUACAAAUCUGGACUUUCUGCAGUUUCUCACACUGUGAAAUGACUAAGGCACUUUGGCAAUGACAAGUAAGUACAUAAUAUCAUACUGGAACCUUUCUGUAAUAUCCCUUAACUUAAAGUAAAUAAUAGUAUAAAUAAAAUAGUAAUAUAGUUGUAAUAAUUUAACUUAAAGUAAAAUAAUGUAAUACUUUGGCAUUUCAGUAUAAGUACAUGAAAAGUGAGGUAGUCAUGUUUAAAUGGAAUGAUAACACUAAUGCUAAGCAAUCCUCUGUACUAACAUAAAUUAU
This 1774-nucleotide unclassified non-coding RNA is filed under the name Camponotus floridanus (Florida carpenter ant). Its description in RNAcentral is "putative nuclease HARBI1, transcript variant X1". The record is from RNAcentral. Lineage: Eukaryota; Metazoa; Arthropoda; Insecta; Hymenoptera; Formicidae.